CUAUUAUGGAGAGUUUGAUCCUGGCUCAGGACGAACGCUGGCGGCGUGCCUAAUACAUGCAAGUCGAGCGGAUUUAUCCUUCGGGAUAAGUUAGCGGCGGACGGGUGAGUAACACGUAGGUAACCUGCCUAUAAGAUCGGGAUAACUAUCGGAAACGAUAGCUAAGACCGGAUAACUGGUUUUCUCGCA
This 189-nucleotide ribosomal RNA is filed under the name Paenibacillus sp. yr247. RNAcentral's name for it is "16S rRNA. Bacterial SSU". It matches the Rfam family "Bacterial small subunit ribosomal RNA", at positions 1 to 190 of the family's 1533-position model. Lineage: Bacteria; Bacillati; Bacillota; Bacilli; Caryophanales; Paenibacillaceae. The record is from RNAcentral.